AGACUAGUACAUGCAGUCGAGCGAAGCGAUGAUCACAGGAGCUUGCUCCUUUGACGUUAGCGGCGGACGCGGUUGAGUAACACGUGGAUAACCUACCUAUAAGACUGGGAUAACUCUCUGGGAAACCGGAGCUAAUACCGGAUAACAUAUUGAACCGCAUGGUUCAAUAGUGAAAGGCGGCUUUGCUGUCACUCUCAGAUGGAUCCGCGCCGUAUUAGCUAGUUGGUAAGGUGACGGCUUACCAAGGCAACGAUACGUAGCCGACCUGAGAGGGUGAUCGGCCACACUGGAACUGAGACACGGUCCAGACUCCUACGGGAGGCAGCAGUAGGGAAUCUUCCGCAAUGGGCGAAAGCCUGACGGAGCAACGCCGCGGGAGUGAUGAAGGUCUUCGGAU
RNAcentral lists this ribosomal RNA (397 nucleotides) under Staphylococcus pasteuri. RNAcentral's name for it is "bacterial SSU rRNA". It matches the Rfam family "Bacterial small subunit ribosomal RNA", at positions 45 to 423 of the family's 1533-position model. Lineage: Bacteria; Bacillati; Bacillota; Bacilli; Caryophanales; Staphylococcaceae. The record is from RNAcentral.